Musca domestica (house fly) is the source of this 759-nucleotide long non-coding RNA. RefSeq lists it as uncharacterized. The transcript is spliced from 3 exons. NCBI's taxonomy places the organism in Eukaryota, Metazoa, Arthropoda, Insecta, Diptera, Muscidae. The record is from RefSeq and is a predicted model, not a curated record.
GAUAUAAAUUUACAGCGCCAAAAUUAUUUUAAAAUAUCAUAUUUGCUCCUUUCUCCUUUCAGGUUGCGAUGGCGGUCGACAAAAAGUAUGGAACAGUAAAGGCUGCUAAUGUUUGAGGUUCUUCCCAAUUGGGAAGGACAAACAAAGGAGUGGUGUCGACAACCAAAAAAAAAUCGACGAGCGAAAUAAAAUGCCUGGUUACCUAACCUUGAAUAGAGCUCUUUUCAACGUCGUGAACCUGCACCUCAAUCAAAAUGAAAACGGCGGAAUUUAAUCAUUUAGCUUCGUCGUCCGUCUGUCUGUCCGGAGUUCAGUGUGACAAAUGUCGAUUGGGAAUGAUACCAGGCCACGCUGGAGCAGCAAUGGCGUAAAAUCUGCGCCUCCCUCGAUGGAUUGGACGGGCGAUGGUGUGGCUCGUUGACUCCAGUUUCCUGGUCUGGAUAUUUAGGUUUAAGAUUUAUUUUUUUUUUAGUUUUAGAAUUUCAAUUGUUUUGUUUUCAAAUUUGUUUAAUUGUUUCCAAACUUUGUUCAAUUUUUUUCCAAAUUUUGUUUAAAUUUUAAAAUAAGUUUAAUUUUUUAAUUUUCAUGAAAUUAUUUGUUUUAGUUAUAAGUUUUUAACUUUUAAACUUUUAGCCUUUUCUUGAUAAAUUUUGUUUAAUCGUUUUAAGGCUUUCAAUUUUGUGUAGAAAAAGUUUGUAUUUUGUGUUGUUUGUUUAUAAGUUUCAAACAAAUAAAAAAAUUGAAUUCACUCUUCAACAA